CAUUAGUGGCAACAUUGUCAAAUUGCGGGAACGCCCUUAGAGCCUUAACUACGGCGGCUCAUCGAAAGAUAGAGUGCAGCAGCAGGGUAAUGACCUCGCGGAUCGUAAAAACGUUAAGGAUUGGGUUAUCUGCAGCCAAGCGCUUUAAAAUGCGUGCUGUUCACAGGCCAAAUGACAGUGGGCUUAUUCGUAAGCUUAAGAUAUGGUCGGUCCCCUUUCGAAAGCGAGGGGGUAAGUUAUCUGCUAAACUAAACGUUCCGUAGGUGAACCUGCGGAAGGAUCAUUA
RNAcentral lists this non-coding RNA (286 nucleotides) under Tremella giraffa. Its description in RNAcentral is "partial 18S ribosomal RNA". The stretch from base 1 to 230 matches the Rfam family "Group I catalytic intron", at positions 39 to 253 of the family's 253-position model. Rfam says of the family: Group I catalytic introns are large self-splicing ribozymes. The record is from RNAcentral. Lineage: Eukaryota; Fungi; Basidiomycota; Tremellomycetes; Tremellales; Tremellaceae.